RNAcentral lists this ribosomal RNA (2750 nucleotides) under Proteobacteria bacterium JGI 0000113-D06. RNAcentral describes it as "bacterial LSU rRNA". It matches the Rfam family "Bacterial large subunit ribosomal RNA". The record is from RNAcentral. Lineage: Bacteria; Pseudomonadati; Pseudomonadota.
UGAAGGGCUUUAGGUGAAUGCCUAGGCACUAAACGGUUAGAGGACGUACAAAAAAAACGAAAGGUUAUGUGGAGUGCUAAAAUGUACUGUGAUACAUAAAUUUCCUAAAGGGAAACCUACUCAUGAAAGAGUAUUACUUUACGUAAGACAUACGCAGUGAAUUGAAACAUCUAAGUAACUGCAGGAAAUAAAAAUCAACCGAGAUUCCGUUAGUAGUGGCGAGCGAACGUGGAGGUGGCCCUUAAGAAAAAAAGAAAAGGUGAGAGCGAAUACUUAUCAUUCACCGGACUCAACCAGAAAAACCAGCCAAAGGUUUGCCAAAGAAGGUGAAAGCCCUGUAAAAGGAAUGUGCGAAAUAUUUUUUUCUUAUGAGUAAAACGGCACACGUGUAAUGCUGUUUGAAUAUUGGGGGAUCACCCUCAAAGGCUGAAUAUAGUUUAGUGACCGAUAGUGUACAAGUACCGUAAGGGAAAGGUGAAAAGAACCGGAUAGGAUUGAAAAGAACCUGAAACCUAAGGCUUACAAACAGUUGGUGUCUUUUGAAAAGAUAACAGCGUACCUUUUGUAUAAUGGGUCAGCGACUUUAUUAUUGUAGCAAGCUUAAAUAAAAAGUAAUUGUAGGCGUAGUGAAAACGAGUUAUAAUAUAGCUUUUAGUUACAAUGAUAAGACCCGAAACCGAGUGAUCUAGCCAUGAACAGGUUGAAGAAAGGGUAAUACUUUUUGGAGGACCGAACCCACGUACGUGGAAAAGUGCGGGGAUGAGUUGUGGUUAGGGGUGAAAGGCCAAUCAAACUCGGAGAUAGCUGGUUUUCCGCGAAAUCUAUUUAAGUAGAGCGUUCAUUUUUAAGUUAUUGGGGUAGAGCACUCGAUGGGCUAGGGGGACUAGAAAUCUUACUAAACCCAAGGAAACUCCGAAUACAAUAACUAAAAAAAGAUGAGCAGACAGACCCUGGGCGCUAAGGUCCUUGGUCAAGAGGGAAACAGCCCAGAAUAAACGUUAAGGUCCCUAAAUCGUAUCUAAGUGAGAAAGAAUGUAGAAAAAUAUCUACAGUCGGUAGGUAGGCUUGGAAGCAGCCAUCCUUUUAAGAAAGCGUAAUAGCUCACUGAUCUAGUUUCUUUGCGUCAAAAAUGUAUAGGGACUUAAGAUACGUACCGAAGCGGUAUUUCUUUAAGAAGGUAGCGGAACGUUCUGUAUAUUGAGGAAGAAUAGUUGUGAGAUUAUUUGGAGAUAUCAGAAUUGAUAAUGCUGACAUGAGUAACGAUAAAGAACGCGCGAAACGUUCUCACCGUAAGUCCAAGGGUUUCUACGAUAGGCUAAUCCGCGUAGAGUUAUACGGCCCCUAAGGAAAAAGCGAAAGCUGUAUCCAAUGGGAGAUAGUUAUUUAAAGAUUACUAUUAUUUUUAGUGGUGACGAGAAUUUUAAUUUAUCUUUCUUUUAAAAAACUUAAGAAGGUAGAGCCAAUUCUCCAGGAAAAAACCCUAAGAAAAAAACCGUACCCUAAACCGACACAGGUGGACGAGUCGAGUAGACUCAGGUGCUUGAGAGAAUUACGUUGAAGGAACUCGGCAAAUUGACUCCGUAACUUCGGGAUAAGGGGUACCUUUCUAAGGGCAACCUUAAAAAGGUGGCACAGAAUAGGGGGUGGCGACUGUUUAGUAAAAACACAGGACUCUGCAAAUUCGUAAGAUGAUGUAUUGGGUCUGACACCUGCCCGGUGCUGGAAAGUUAAUGGGAGAUGUUUUCGCAUCGAACUGAAGCUCCAGUAAACGGCGGCGGUAACUCUGACCGUCCAAAGGUAGCGAAAUUCCUUGUCGGGUAAGUUCCGACCUGCAUGAAUGGUGUAACGACUUCCCCACUGUCUCCAACGUGAACUCAGUGAAAUUGAAUUGUCCGUGAAGAUGCGGACUACCUAUAGCUAGACGGAAAGACCCCAUGCACUUUUACUACAUCUUUGCACUGUAGAAGGUUAUAGAAUAUAUAGGAUAGGUGGGAGCCUUUGACAUCUUCACGCUAGUGAAUUCAUGUAGGCAUCCUUGGAAUACCACCUCUUUUAUCUUCUUCUACUCACUAAGAAUUAUGAAUCUAAUUCUAGGACAAUGCAUGGUUGGUAGUUUGACUGGGGCGGUCACCUCCUAAAGAGUAACGGAGGUGCGCAAAGGUGGACUCAAAUUGUUUUGAAUAUCAAUUGUAGAGUGUAAUGGCAUAAGUCUGCCUGACUGUAAGAUGUACAUAUCGAGCAGGGACGUAACGUCGGUCAUAGUGAUCCGGUGAUCCCGAGUGAAAGGGUCAUCGCUCAACGGAUAAAAAGUACGCUGGGGAUAACAGGCUAAUGACUCUUAAGAGCUCCUAUCGACGGAGUCGUUUGGCACCUCGAUGUCGACUCAUCACAUCCUGGAGCUGGAGAAGGUUCCAAGGGUUUGGCUGUUCGCCAAUUAAAGUGGUACGUGAGUUGGGUUUAGAACGUCGUGAGACAGUUUGGUCCCUAUCUACUAUAGGCGUUAAUAAUUGAGAAGAUUUCAUUCUAGUACGAGAGGACCGAAUGGAGCUGACCUCUAAUAGACCGAUUAUAUUGUUAAAUGUACUGUCGGGUAGUCACGUUAGUAAAGGAUAAUUGCUGAAAGCAUCUAAGCAAGAAACCCCCUUCAAGAUUAAUUAUUAAAGAGGUGGAAGAUUACCACUUGAUAGGCUUGGUAUAAAAGAAGGGUGACCUUUUUAGUUAACAAGUACUAAUUACUUUUAAUUAUUUUA